GCUCAGUGCCAGCCCGGUCCCGGCCAAGCGGAGUGUGAGCCUAGCGCCCCCAACGCAGCACCCCGCGCCCUCGCCAGCUUCCCCACCGUGCGGAUCGAAGCCAGCCGGUUGUUGCCAUGGCAUUCGCCAGCUGGUGGUACAAGACGCAUGUCAGUGAAAAAACCAGUGAAUCGCCUUCCAAACCAGGAGAAAAAAAAGGAUCAGAUGAGGUAAUUUCCAUAAUACUGGGCUUUCAUUUUCUCUUGCUUUUAAACUGUGGAGUCUGCCUUGAAAUAUUAAAUAAUGAUGUAGCAAAGAGCUUCUACUUUGCUUAAUAUUGGGAAAUUUUGAUUUAACCAAGAUUUGAUUCAAGAAUAUAAAAGGAAAUCACUAAAAAUAAAUAAAAAAAUUGUUCCUGGGAAUAGAGCCUGUAUGAAUACUUUCCCUUUAGUAAUAGAACUUUGUUGCUUAGGGUGUUUUCUCUAUAGGAAUUGGUGAAUCCAGAUUGUUUUGUUGGUGAAUAUGUCAAGUGUAGAAGGGAAAACAAUUGCUAUAGUAGAAAGGAAAACCUUUUUUUAUGA
This 560-nucleotide small RNA is filed under the name Pongo abelii (Sumatran orangutan). RNAcentral describes it as "retained intron". The record is from RNAcentral. Lineage: Eukaryota; Metazoa; Chordata; Mammalia; Primates; Hominidae.